This 220-nucleotide long non-coding RNA is filed under the name Carica papaya (papaya). Its description in RNAcentral is "long non-coding RNA (CPAP_LNC014169)". Lineage: Eukaryota; Viridiplantae; Streptophyta; Magnoliopsida; Brassicales; Caricaceae. The record is from RNAcentral.
GACCAUUUGAUUCUGCCUAAGGAGGAAACGAAUCUAGGCCAUUCUUCACGUUUGAUCUCGAUCAUCUAAUCGCACCUAAGGAGGAAACGAAUCUGGACCGUUCAUCACAUUUGAUCACAACCGUUCGAUCACGCCUGAGGAGAGAAAUGAUCUGGACAGUCCACGUGCAAAAUUUUCGCGUGGCAAAAUUUUCUUUAAUUGCAUUCUGACCCCCCAGUUU